UGAGGACAAAUGCAGUAGGUGUGUGU
This 26-nucleotide non-coding RNA is filed under the name Homo sapiens (human). Lineage: Eukaryota; Metazoa; Chordata; Mammalia; Primates; Hominidae. The record is from RNAcentral.